CCUACGGGCGGCAGCAGUGAGGAAUAUUGGUCAAUGGGCGUAAGCCUGAACCAGCCAAGUCGCGUGAGGGAUGAAGGUUCUAUGGAUCUUAAACCUCUUUUACAAGGGAAUAAAGUGUGGGACGUGUCCCGUUUUGUAUGUACCUUAUGAAUAAGGAUAGGCUAACGCCGUGCCAGCAGCCGCGGUAAUACGGAGGAUCCGAGCGUUAUCCGGAUUUAUUGGGUUUAACGGGUGCGUAGGUGGCCUUUUAAGUCAGCGGUGAAAGUCUGUGGCUCAACCAGAGAAGUGACUUUGAAACUGGUAGGCUUGAGUAUGUUUGAGGCAGGCGGAAUGCGAGGUGUAGCGGUGAAAUGCUUAGAUAUCACGCAGAACCCCGAUUGCGAAGGCAGCCUGCUAAGCCAUGACUGACGCUGAUGCACGAAAGCGUGGGGAUCAAACAGGAUUAGAUACCCUAGUAGUC
This 460-nucleotide ribosomal RNA is filed under the name uncultured bacterium. Its description in RNAcentral is "partial 16S ribosomal RNA". It matches the Rfam family "Bacterial small subunit ribosomal RNA", at positions 338 to 795 of the family's 1533-position model. The record is from RNAcentral.